UUUUAUGUGCAUCUAUGACGUGUGUCUCAUUUAUAAAUACAGCAAUUAUUUUCUAUAUCAAUCCAUAGGCUGGACCAAAUCCUUCGCAUUUCGUUUGAUUUUAAAAUCUUUCAACGAAUAUAAAAAACCUGCUGAGAACAUAUCAAGAGCCAUGGAGCAUGAGGUUUUAACCGUGACUGGAAAAUUCCGAGUUGAAUAUCCUGGUGUUCAAAGUCAACUGCGGCGCAAUAUCUCCCAAGUUUUGAACAAAUUCCAGGCAUUGCUCAACAUGAAUUUGCUUGAUGAAAGUUCAAGUACUGGUAAUGGAACAGAGGAUAGAACAGCAGAAACAAACUUUUGAGUGAAAAUCGAAAAAGAGCCUCCAAGAAUCGUCUUUGAUGAUAUUUUAUGCUAUAAAACGAUAUUUUCUGCAUAUAUAAUACAAAA
Molecule: long non-coding RNA, 426 nt
Organism: Octopus sinensis (East Asian common octopus)
Lineage: Eukaryota; Metazoa; Mollusca; Cephalopoda; Octopoda; Octopodidae
Exons: 4
Source: RefSeq, a predicted model, not a curated record